GGCAUGGUGGUGCAGUGGGCAGCGCGGUCACCUCACAGGCGGAAGGCCCACGGUUCGAAGCACAGCUGUGUUU
RNAcentral lists this transfer RNA (73 nucleotides) under Anguilla anguilla (European eel). RNAcentral describes it as "tRNA-OTHER". The record is from RNAcentral. Lineage: Eukaryota; Metazoa; Chordata; Actinopteri; Anguilliformes; Anguillidae.